RNAcentral lists this ribosomal RNA (440 nucleotides) under uncultured bacterium. Its description in RNAcentral is "partial 16S ribosomal RNA". It matches the Rfam family "Bacterial small subunit ribosomal RNA", at positions 338 to 795 of the family's 1533-position model. The record is from RNAcentral.
CCUACGGGAGGCAGCAGUGGGGAAUAUUGCACAAUGGGGGAAAGCCUGAUGCAGCCACGCAGCGUGAAUGAAGACGUAUUUCGGUAUGUAAAGCUCUAUCAGCAGGGGAGAAGAUGACGGUACGUGAGUAGGAAGCCCCGGCUAACUACGGGCCAGCAGCCGCGGUAAUACGUAGGGGGCAAGCGUUAUCCGGAUUUACUGGGUGUAAAGGGAGCGUAGACGGCUGCGAAAGUCUGAAGUGAAAGCCCGGGGCUCAAACCCGGGACUGCUUUGGAAACUGUGUAGCUAGAGUGCUGGAGAGGCAAGCGGAAUUCGUGGUGUAGCGGUGAAAUGCGUAGAUAUCAGGAAGAACACCAGUGGCGAAGGCGGCUUGCCGGACAGUAACUGACGUUGAGGCUCGAAAGCGUGGGGAGCAAACAGGAUUAGAUACCCCAGUAGUC